This 253-nucleotide ribosomal RNA is filed under the name uncultured bacterium. RNAcentral describes it as "partial 16S ribosomal RNA". It matches the Rfam family "Bacterial small subunit ribosomal RNA", at positions 524 to 776 of the family's 1533-position model. The record is from RNAcentral.
UACGUAGGGGGCAAGCGUUGUCCGGAUUUAUUGGGCGUAAAGAGCGUGUAGGCGGCCGUACAGGUCAGCUGUGAAAACUCGAGGCUCAACCUCGAGACGUCGGUUGAAACCGUACGGCGAGAGUCCGGAAGAGGAGAGUGGAAUUCCCGGUGUAGCGGUGAAAUGCGCAGAUAUCGGGAAGAACACCCGUGGCGAAGGCGGCUCUCUGGGACGGUACUGACGCUGAGACGCGAAAGCGUGGGGAGCGAACAGG